Molecule: small nuclear RNA, 191 nt
Organism: Echinops telfairi (small Madagascar hedgehog)
Lineage: Eukaryota; Metazoa; Chordata; Mammalia; Afrosoricida; Tenrecidae
Product: U2 spliceosomal RNA
Exons: 1
Source: RefSeq, a predicted model, not a curated record
CAAUCUCCUCGGCCUUUGGGCUAAGAUCAGAUGUAGUAUCUGUUGUUAUCAGGGUAAUAUCUGAUCCCUCCUCUAUCUGAGGACAGUAUAUUAAGUGGAUUUUUGGACUUAGGAGGUGGAAUAGGAGCUUGCUCCGUCCACUCCACGCAUCGACCUGGUAUUGCAGUACCUCCAGGAACGGUGCACUCCCU